Molecule: transfer RNA, 74 nt
Filed under: Cryomorphaceae bacterium
Lineage: Bacteria; Pseudomonadati; Bacteroidota; Flavobacteriia; Flavobacteriales; Cryomorphaceae
Description: tRNA-Met
Rfam family: tRNA
About the family: Transfer RNA (tRNA) molecules are approximately 80 nucleotides in length.
Source: RNAcentral
GGGCUCAUAGCUCAGUUGGUUAGAGCACCUGACUCAUAAUCAGGUGGUCGCAGGUUCAAGCCCUGCUGGGCCCA